GCCAGAUUUAUAUAAAUAAAAAAGCAGAUUUUCCCCGUCUCUCUUGGCUGCUGUUGAACAGCAUCAGUUUCAAGACCACACAAGGAGCUGUGUCGACAGCUCAGAAAUGUGCAGGAAAGGCAGAGGUAGGAAGGGUUCAAAGGACCUUGAUAACUUGCUUUGGGCUUCUAAUGCAUGGAGGUUCCCUGUGGACGUUAAGGAGUAGCCCUUUCACUGGGAGCAAAGAGGAUAGUUGCUGGGAUGUGAUGAAGGCUCUGAAAGGAAAAAAUAAAUUAACAUCCGGUGGGCUUCUCCUCCUACUCUGCAUACAGGAAGUCUUAAGGAGACCACAGGACACUAUCAGUACUGCCUCCCAACACAUUCUGGAUCCCAAGAACCCUUCCUAUUCCUCUACAGCCUCUAAUAACUUCACUUAAAAUAAAACUCCUAGUUUGGUGUUUCUUGUCUGAAAU
Molecule: long non-coding RNA, 452 nt
Filed under: Cyanistes caeruleus (blue tit)
Lineage: Eukaryota; Metazoa; Chordata; Aves; Passeriformes; Paridae
Description: lncRNA (ENSCCEG00000012057.1)
Source: RNAcentral